Molecule: ribosomal RNA, 441 nt
Filed under: uncultured bacterium
Lineage: Bacteria
Description: partial 16S ribosomal RNA
Rfam family: Bacterial small subunit ribosomal RNA
Source: RNAcentral
CUACGGGCCGCACCAGUGGGGAAUAUUGCACAAUGGGGGAAACCCUGAUGCAGCAACGCCGCGUGAAGGAUGAAGGCCUUUGGGUCGUAAACUUCUGUCCUAGGGGAAGAAACAAAUGACGGUACCCUUGGAGGAAGCCCCGGCUAACUACGUGCCAGCAGCCGCGGUAAUACGUAGGGGGCAAGCGUUAUCCGGAAUUAUUGGGCGUAAAGCGUGCGUAGGCGGUUUUUUAAGCGCGGGGUUUAAGGCAAUGGCUCAACCAUUGUUCGCCCUGCGAACUGAAAGACUUGAGUACAGGAGAGGAAAGCGGAAUUCCUAGUGUAGCGGUGAAAUGCGUAGAUAUUAGGAGGAACACCAGUGGCGAAGGCGGCUUUCUGGACUGACACUGACGCUGAGGCACGAAAGCGUGGGGAGCAAACAGGAUUAGAUACCCGAGUAGUC